UACGAAGGGGGCAAGCGUUGUUCGGAAUUACUGGGCGUAAAGCGCACGUAGGCGGCUUUGCAAGUCAGAGGUGAAGGCCCGGGGCUCAACCCCGGAAUUGCCUUUGAGACUGCAUCGCUAGAAUUGUGGAGAGGUAAGUGGAAUUCCGAGUGUAGAGGUGAAAUUCGUAGAUAUUCGGAAGAACACCAGUGGCGAAGGCGACUUACUGGACACAUAUUGACGCUGAGGUGCGAAAGCGUGGGGAGCAAACAGG
Molecule: ribosomal RNA, 253 nt
Filed under: uncultured bacterium
Lineage: Bacteria
Description: partial 16S ribosomal RNA
Rfam family: Bacterial small subunit ribosomal RNA
Source: RNAcentral